This 246-nucleotide ribosomal RNA is filed under the name uncultured bacterium. RNAcentral's name for it is "partial small subunit ribosomal RNA". It matches the Rfam family "Bacterial small subunit ribosomal RNA", at positions 26 to 286 of the family's 1533-position model. The record is from RNAcentral.
AGAAUCAACGCUGGCGGCGUGCCUAACACAUGCAAGUCGAACGAGAAAGGGACUUCGGUCCUGAGUACAGUGGCGCACGGGUGAGUAACACGUGACUAACCUACCCUGGAGUGGGGAAUAACUGAGGGAAACCUUAGCUAAUACCGCAUAAUACCUACGGGUCAAAGGAGCAAUUCGCUUCAGGAGGGGGUCGCGGCCGAUUAGCUAGUUGGCGGGGUAAUGGCCCACCAAGGCAAUGAUCGGUAU